Non-coding RNA from Mollisiaceae sp. DMI_Dod_QoI, 79 nucleotides. NCBI's taxonomy places the organism in Eukaryota, Fungi, Ascomycota, Leotiomycetes, Helotiales, Mollisiaceae. The record is from the annotation of a GenBank genome assembly.
GGGCGCGUGGUUUAGUGGUAUAAUAUUCCCUUAGCACUUAGCGUGGGAAUGGUCCUGGGUUCGAUUCCCAGCGCGUCCA